This 407-nucleotide ribosomal RNA is filed under the name uncultured bacterium. RNAcentral describes it as "partial 16S ribosomal RNA". It matches the Rfam family "Bacterial small subunit ribosomal RNA", at positions 29 to 526 of the family's 1533-position model. The record is from RNAcentral.
AUUGAACGCUGGCGGCAGGCCUAACACAUGCAAGUCGAGCGGAGCGGCGGACGGGUGAGUAAUGCCUAGGAAUCUGCCUGGUAGUGGGGGAUAACGUCCGGAAACGGGUGCUAAUACCGCAUACCAUCCGAUGAGCCUAGGUCGGAUUGGCUGGUUGGUGGGGUAAAGCACUACCACGGCGACGAUCCGUAACGGGUCUGAGAGGAUGAUCAGUCACACGGGAACUGGGACACGGUCCGACCUCCAAGGGGAGGCAGCGGAGGGAAAGAUUGGACACUGGGCGAAGGCCGAAUCAAGCAAUGCCGCGUGUAGGAGGAAGGCCUUCGGGUUGUAAGGUACUUUCAGCGGGGAGGCGUUACCCGCAGAAAAAGCACCGGCUAACUCCGUGCCAGCAGCCGCGGUAAUUC